CACGUAGUUAGCCGGGGCUUCUUAGUCAGGUACCGUCAUUUUCUUCCCUGCUGAUAGAAGUUUACAUACCGAAAUACUUCUUCCUUCACGCGGCGUCGCUGCAUCAGGGUUUCCCCCAUUGUGCGAUAUUCCCCACUGCUGCCUCCCGUAGGAGUUUGGGCCGUGUCUCAGUCCCAAUGUGGCCGUUCACCCUCUCAGGCCGGCUACUGAUCGUCGCCUUGGUGAGCCCUUACCUCACCAACCAGCUAAUCAGACGCGGGUCCAUCUCAUACCACCGGAGUUUUUCACACCGUCCCAUGCGAGACCGUGCGCUUAUGCGGUAUUAGCAGUCAUUUCUAACUGUUAUCCCCCUGUAUGAGGCAGGUUACCCACGCGUUACUCACCCGUCCGCCACUCAGUCAAAUAAGACUUCAAACCGAAGUAAUCCGUCUUAAGUGCUUCGUUCGACUUGCAUGUGUUAAGCACGCCGCCAGCGUUCAUCCUGAGCCAGGAUCAAACCUCU
RNAcentral lists this ribosomal RNA (502 nucleotides) under uncultured Eubacteriales bacterium. Its description in RNAcentral is "uncultured Clostridiales bacterium partial 16S ribosomal RNA". The record is from RNAcentral. Lineage: Bacteria; Bacillati; Bacillota; Clostridia; Eubacteriales.